RNAcentral lists this microRNA precursor (122 nucleotides) under Gossypium arboreum. RNAcentral's name for it is "MIR7502 microRNA precursor family". It matches the Rfam family "MIR7502 microRNA precursor family". The record is from Rfam by way of RNAcentral. Lineage: Eukaryota; Viridiplantae; Streptophyta; Magnoliopsida; Malvales; Malvaceae.
UAUUAAAAUAUUCAUUUAUUUCUAAUGUUAAAAAAUAGCGUGACCAACAAAAUAACCAGUGUAGCUCAUAUUGACGUACAAUCAUCAGUUUUUAAAAAUAAAAAUAGAUGAAAUUUUUAAUA